Molecule: long non-coding RNA, 1916 nt
Organism: Esox lucius (northern pike)
Lineage: Eukaryota; Metazoa; Chordata; Actinopteri; Esociformes; Esocidae
Source: Ensembl
AGAAAAUGACAUUGAUUUUAAUUGCAUGUUUUUAAAUCAGCUCAAUGUGAAAAGUCCAAAGGUGGUGAUUAUCUUUGCAAUCACAACACAUAAAUGUAUAAAGGAGUUAUUCCUAAAUUUGGUUGUUCUAGAAUGUUCAUGCUCAAACUGAAACCCUCCUAUCGCUCCUUCCUCUCCCUCUCCCUCUCCUCCUUUUUCUCCCUCUUCAAGUCAAAUCCUUCCUUCCCCUCUUCCAUUUUCAUCUCUCUAUCCUCACUGUUCCAUUCCGUUCGCUCCUCUCCUCUGCCCCUGUCUUCCCUUCCUCUCUGGCCCUCUGUCAUCCCUUCCUCUCUGGCCCUCUGUCAUCCCUUCCUCUCUGGGCCUCUGUCUUCCCUUCCUCUCUGGCCCUCUGUCAUCCCUUCUUCUCUGGCCCUCUGUCUUCCCUUCUCCUCUCUGGGCCUCUGUCAUCCCUUCAUCUCUGGGCCUCUGUCAUCCCUUCCUCUCUGGGCCUCUGUAUCCCUUCCUCUCUGGGCCUCUGUCAUCCCUUCCUCUCUGGGCCUCUGUCAUCCCUUCCUCUCUGGGCCUCUGUCAUCCCUUCCUCUCUGGGCCUCUGUCAUCCCUUCCUCUCUGGGCCUCUGUCAUCCCUCCUCUCCAGGCCUCUGUCAUCCCUUCCUCUCUGGGCCUCUGUCAUCCCUUCCUCUCUGGGCCUCUGUCUUCCCUUCCUCUCUGGGCCUCUGUCUUCCCUUCCUCUCCGGGCCUCUGUCAUCCCUUCCUCUCUGGGCCUCUGUCAUCCCUUCCUCUCCGGGCCUCUGUCAUCCCUUCCUCUCUGGGCCUCUGUCAUCCCUUCCUCUCUGGGCCUCUGUCAUCCCUUCCUCUCCGGGCCUCUGUCAUCCCUUCCUCUCUGGGCCUCUGUCAUCCCUUCUCCUCCGGGCCUCCGCACAUUCCCUGUAAUAAUAGGAAACCGGAUGAUGAGAGAGGAAGAGACAGAAAUCCUCUAAUAAUAAUCACUGUCUGUUUUGUCAUUUAUUUCUCCUUUCUUAGAAAGAGAUGGGAAGGGGAGAAUGAGAAUGAGAGGAAAAGAGGAAAAAUCUGAAAGGAAGAGAGGGAGGGAGAAGGAGACAAAAAGAGGGAGAGAUUGUCAUGGAGAGAGAGCUGCGUGCCCUGGAGCAGGUCUCUCCCUACAGUGAUACUGUAGUGAUCCAACAUCAUCCAAAUUGUUGGUAGCUGAAAGGCAGGAGAUAAUUACACUGUAACUCACAACCAGCUGUUACUGGCUCUGUGUGUAUGUGUUUUACAGGCUCAACAUAGAUGUUUCUCUUGCUGGAGGAAAUGGUUGCUGCAAGGCUUUGAGUCAAGUUUCCUAGCACUGUGUGUGUGUCUCUGUGUGUGUGUGUGUGUGUGUGUCUGUGUGUGUGUGUGUGUGUGUGUCUCUAUGUGUGUGUGUUUGUGAGAGAGGGAGCGAGUGAGAAGGAGAAUGUGUGCAUGUGCGUUUGAGAGAGGGGGAGUUAAAGCUGAAACCAGGUGAGUGAAGCUGAGACCAGGUGAGUGAAGCUGAGACCAGGUGAGUGAAGCUGAGACCAGGUGAGUGAAGCUGAGACCAGAUGAGUGAAGCUGAGACCAGGUGAGUGAAGCUGAGACCAGGUGAGUGAAGCUGAGACCAGGUGAGUGAAGCUGAUGUCACAUUGGCCCCCCUGGGACUGACUGUCACAACACUAGAAUGACCAGGUCCACAACAUCAGGUAACAGACCUAGAAGGAUACUACACAAGUGUACCAAUGAGACCCCUUUACUUAUUAUCCUAGAGCCAGAUAACCAUGUGGAAAUUAACAAAGUGACAUGUGUUUUAGUGUAACAUGAUGUUUGUUAAUAUAUUGAGAUGUGUGUUGAUGUAAUGACAUUAGUUAAUUUAAUAAGACAUCUGUUAAGAUAAUAUGUGG